This 1308-nucleotide long non-coding RNA is filed under the name Mus musculus (house mouse). Its description in RNAcentral is "long non-coding RNA chrX:82893701-82895009". The record is from RNAcentral. Lineage: Eukaryota; Metazoa; Chordata; Mammalia; Rodentia; Muridae.
UAUAAAACAUUUAUUUUCUCAGUUAUGGACAUUGAGUUACUUGAUUUUGAGUAAUGCAGUCAUUUUUCGUGCAUUUAUUAUUUUCCUUUGAUGCCAAUCAGGUUUCCAUUUAUAUAUUAUCAGUAGUCUUUUAAGCAAAUGGCCAGGCUUAAGGAAACUAUUCGUUUUAUUAUUAUUAUACAUUACAAUCCGCAUAUGUAUAAAAAGAUGAAAAUGAAAGUGAUGGAAUGUUACCACUCUCUAGAAAUAAUAAAAAGUAUAAUAUAAUCUUAUAAGAAUUUUUUUAUUAAAAUGGAAUGUAAUCAAUGGCCCCAAAAUAAUAUGAUUUGCUGUCUCUGAAACAGGUGAGUACAACAAAGUAGGAACCUCACUUUUAAUUUAAAGCUUUAAUUUAAAAAGACAACAUUCUUAAACUUAAAGCUGAGAAAGCAUUGGAUAUCCUAUGCUAGUGCUUUUCUUCUAUUAGGUGAAUGAACACCAGGAGUCGUCAGCAUUGUAUGUGGAGGAAGAAUGAAUGUAUUGCAGUGUUUGACUCAAAAUAUUUUAAAAUUUAUUUUGUUAGAACAAGUUCACAAACAUGGAAGCUUCUCUGGAUUCAAACUAUUUGCAAACUCCAUGGGUAACUUUCCUUUCCAUCCAGUGUAUUACUCUACCACAGGAAACCAAAUUUCUUUUUAUAAUAUACACUUAAUAGGAAAUGCAAUUUCAGGUAUUUUUCAAAGGGCUAAAUAUGGAAGGCUUAAUGGAGUGACACUACAGGUUAUAUAUGUCAUAAAAUAGGAAAAGGAACUGGACCAAGUAACAGUUUCUGAAAGGAAGGAAAAGGGUUGGAGAUAUAGUUGAGUUGGUAGAGCUUGCCUAAUAUGUAUAAAUUCUUCAAUUUGAUUCCCAGUGCCAGGGACUCAAAGUGAGAUGAAUAUCUGUAAGCCUAACAUUUGAGAGACAAACUAUGGCUUAAGGACAGAGUAUGGUUACAGGAGUGUUUGUCUGGAAACAAAGUAUGAAAACAUAUUGAAAUCCCGUUCUAUCCAUAUAAGUUUCCUUCUAAUUUUAAUCUGGAAUGUGUGAAUUUUGGUGAAAAUCUUUUAUUAUUGUUUUGAAAUAGUAAAAGAUUUUCACCACCACACUUAUGUUGAAGAAAUAAAGGAGUGAGACUCUCCUAAUGGAUGAGAUGUCUGUAAGUAUAUUUGUGGGGAGAAGGGAGUUGAGAAUCUUCAGUAAUGGAUCAUCCAUUCAUUAUAAUCCUAAUAAUCUGACUGGCUCCAUGAGGUGAAGAAGAAGGAGAAGAAGAAGAAGAAGAAGAAGAAG